GGGCGACAUAUGUCUACCACACGGUUCUUCAUUGUUCUUCAGUGCUGAUUUUUAACACAUGAUGAUAGGAACUUCAUUUUGUGCAUUCUUUGUGUCCCUGGGACUUACCACAGUGCCUAACAUAUGGUGGACUAGCUGUAAGGUGAAAGCAACCUGGAUUCCUAAGUCAUCACUUGGAAAGGAGCCACCCUGAAAAGCUGCUGGACAUACAGUAGACUUUGCAUGAGUGAGCUGAGUGAGGUUUAGGGUUUGUUUAUUGCUGCAACAUAGCAGAGCCUCUCCUGACUAAUACAGAGAAGGAUGCAGAAAGAGACAUGAGGAGGUGCCUGGAGACAGCCCUGCUUUCAUCACCACUUUCCAGAGCCACAGAGAAAGGGCCUCUCUUCUAGAAAAGGAGGCAUCAAAAAAAUCUUCAGUGAAGGUAGACUUUAAUAUCUGUAUGCUUCUGUAUUGUCUUUUACAACAAGAAUGUGCUUUUAAUGUAAUUUAAAAAAAUAAAAGUUGGGAAAAACACUUUGGGCGACUUCGAGAAGAAGCCUUCACAAUGAGGAAUUUGGAAGACCUCCACAUCCCUCAAAAAUGUUUCCAUCCCUCCAUUUACAGAAAGGUUUGUUUGGGUUACCAAGCACCCAUUUAAAAAAUGACUCAGUGAGGCAGCGUAAACAAAGUGAAUUCCUGGAUGGGUAUGAUUUCACUCACAAAUGCUGGUUGCUGCUGGCUGAAGACACUUGGCCUGGGUCAGCUUCAUUUGGCAGGUUGAUGGUAUAGAACUCCAAUUCGCUUCAGUUGGUCGACCCUGACUUUUUACUCCCUCACAGUGAUGAGCAACAAACCCAAAACUCCUUAAGCAACUUGGGAUAGUUGAUGUUGAUGAAGUUUAUUUCCUGCAAGCAGCCUGAAAUGCUUUGGGGAAGGAAGCAGAAUAUACAAUAAAAUAAGACAGUAUCUAAUAAGUAAGUGCUGCUGACUUAAAAAAAAAAAAAGUGAGACGAUCAUUCCUUUGAAUAAACCACAAGAAAUUACAGAAGUUAGUUUGCAUGUGUUCCAUAAGACAUCAGUUCACUGGACACUAUGAAAAUGACCUUCUUUAUUAAUGCUGUUGGUGGCUCCAGCAACUGAAUAAGACAGUGACAAAAUCAGCUUCAUAAGUUCUGCUUCACAGCCUUGGUAGCACCAUGGGACCUAGAGGCAAUGCUCCCAUCAAGUCUCCUACAUAAAAACACCCUCACAGAGACUUGUAUUUGUCACCCACUGUUGAAGAGAAAGAGACCCAGGUGGACAAGAGAACCCGAGCUCUCCUCUCUUCGACUCUCCUUACUCCUCAACUCCUGCUGCCUCUACUCUCUCUUCCCCAAACUAUGAAAAGCUCUCUUCUCAGUAAUUUAUUCUCCUCAGUUGAUUAACUGUUGACACUUGGGUGGGAAUGGGUUUCUCUGGUGAAUUAGCACAAGCAGGAAUUUUCCCUGUAAACCUUUUCUCUCUAAUUGUGUAGCCAU
Molecule: long non-coding RNA, 1496 nt
Filed under: Equus caballus (horse)
Lineage: Eukaryota; Metazoa; Chordata; Mammalia; Perissodactyla; Equidae
Description: lncRNA (ENSECAG00000048766.1)
Source: RNAcentral